RNAcentral lists this unclassified non-coding RNA (378 nucleotides) under plant metagenome. Its description in RNAcentral is "partial contains 5.8S ribosomal RNA, internal transcribed spacer 2, and large subunit ribosomal RNA". The stretch from base 1 to 105 matches the Rfam family "5.8S ribosomal RNA", at positions 50 to 154 of the family's 154-position model. The record is from RNAcentral.
GAAAUGCGAUAAGUAAUGUGAAUUGCAGAAUUCAGUGAAUCAUCGAAUCUUUGAACGCACCUUGCGCUCCUUGGUAUUCCUUGGAGCAUGCCUGUUUGAGUAUCAUGAAAUCUUCAAAGUAAAUCUUUUGUUAACUCAAUUGGUUUCUACUUUGGUAUUGGAGGUCUUUGCAGCUUCACACCUGCUCCUCUUUGUUCAUUAGCUGGAUCUCAGUGUUAUGCUUGGUUCCACUCGGCGUGAUAAGUUAUCUAUCGCUGAGGACACUGUAAAAGGUUGCCAAGGUAAAUGCAGAUGAACCGCUUCUAAUAGUCCAUUGACUUGGAAAAUACUUUUAUGAUCUGAUCUCAAAUCAGGUAGGACUACCCGCUGAACUUAAGC